UGUACGUGUGCUGAACGCGGAGGUGUCGUCCGUUCGGCACUAGAUCGUGGGACUGAUCGCAGGACGGUUCACGGGGCGGAUCGAGGGACAUGAGGACGUUCCACUACAUCAACCGCGUUCACUAACGCUUCUGCUGUACGGUCUACAAGGGUACGUAGAUCACAUAUCCCCUCUCGUCGAUGGACAUCACCAUGAUAGGUCUUCGUGUGCGUAGGAAAAUUUUUGUUUCCCAUGCGACGUUCCCCAACAGCUGCCCGGUACCAAUCCUGGUGAUUACAUGAAGCAUUCAGUAAUUUUUUAUAUAGCUGAGGUAACAAAUAAACAAACAUAUGAAUACGUGCUCGGGAAGCCUCUGGUCAAACCUGAUCAUCCUCCUCUAACACCGAGGAUGCACGAAUUGCAUGAGUGGUACAUGAACAUCUUCAGGGAGACUGGGAAAGACGCUAUCUAUAUGAGAGUGAAAAAAGAUCACGAUUUCAUUGGAACUUCAGUGCUGCUUGUUCAAUUUGAGGAGUUAUUUCAGUUAUACAAUCAACUGGCCUCGACAAACAAUUCAUGACUUCCUACUGUUUGUAAGUAUUACUUCUAUAAUUAAGUCUCUAGCUCAUCUCGUUCAUUUCAUGUAUAUAUAAUUAUCCUUACUAUAUAUAUUAUGCAGCUUCAAGAUCGUCGAAUUAAAAAAAGCAGGAAUCUUCGACGUUGGGUUCAUUAGCCCAGAAGCCGUAAAUGUAUUGUCGGUACGAAAUGAAACCAAAGAGACCGAGGUUAGCUUGCUAAACUCUUUGCUUGCAAUUCAAAACAAAAGGGAAAUACUCUUUCCUUACAACUUCAAGUGAGUGUUGCUGUAUUCUCUGUAUACUCGUUUCGCUUACUCGAGGUUAAGUAAAUGUAAUUGAUGAGUUAUAUAUGCGUGCGCAGUUACCACUUUAUUCUGCUAUCCAUUAAGCUUGACGGGGUAAAAGUAAUUGUCUUAGACUCGAGACGUAAAGAUCCCGAGGAUUAUGCGGACAUGACUGCAAUGCUCAAGAAGUAAGUUCAGUCAAUACCAGGACCAUACCGGCAUGCAACUUUCAUUAAUUUCCUGAUAUCAAGUAAUCAUUUUCCUUGUCUGGCAAGGUUUGGAAGAAGUUCACCUCAAAGUCUCCCGGUCUAAACAAAGAGUUGCAAUUUACGCACCCCCCCCCGGUAAGUAGUACUAUCUAGUUCCGUGCAUCUCUAAUUGAUUCAAAUUUUCAUCAAUAUAUCAUUACCAUGCUUGCUUAUCAGUUUGAUUGAACUCUAUUCUCAUAAAGUGCUUGUACCAGGUAGCUGGAACUGAAAAAUGUGCAUACUACGUAUGCGAGUUCAUUCGCCUCUCAACCUCUGGGCGAGGCAUCUCUGACAAACAAUUUGAAGUACGUAAAUAAUAUUCACAAUUUUAUUUUAUAUAUUACCAUCAAUUGUGUUGAGUUUUAUUCAUAUAUAUAUGCAUGUAUUGACCCCCUUCUUUAAAUUAGAUCUGAAAGAAGCGGGAUGAACCCCUAUCAGAUGAUGGCAUACGAGCAAUCCAAGAGGAAUUGGCGGGAUUCUUUCUUGACCACGUCAUACGGAGAAUACCAUGUGAGCUAUUUGUGAUUGAAUCUUAGGUAGAUGAUGUUAGGCAUUGUAAAAGAUGUUAGGGAUUGUAAAUGGUUUCCUUCAUUUUCUUAUUAGCUAGCGUCAUGUUCUCUCUAUAUGUAUAGUAGCUAGCGUCGACCAAGCACGGAGAAAGAGAGGACACUUCUCUCUAGUAGCUAGCUAACACAAUAAAAAACCACUAAAUUAACCCUCCACCCCCACCCCCAUUCAGAAAAAACAAAACCCCCAGCUCCGGCCAGAUGCUGACGCGUGGAUGCCAUGUUGUCCCGGUUAGUAUGACCAACCGGGACUAACGGCCCUCCUGCUCGGGCUCCCCGCAGCGGACACGUGGAGACCCUUCGGUCCCGGUUGGUAAGCGAACCGGGACUAAAGGUUUUGGGCUUUAGUCCCGACACUUUAGUCCCGGUUCCGGAACCGGGGCUAAUGAGCCUAUGGAACCGGGACAAAUGUGCCUUUUUCUACUAGUGGUAGUCAUCGUAAGCCUUUAAUCCCCCCAUAAUGCGGAAAAACAAUGGUUUUUUGCAUGCAAAAAACGGCGACGAAACCAGUGAUGAUCCAAAAAAGUUAGGUAUGGAGCAAAGUAGUCCUUCUAUAGUAGCCGUGCGCCGCAGACCCUAUCCCGAUUGAUCAUUCUUCUUUUUUUGAUUGAGCCCUUGAAAUUAGGAAUAUGCUCUGCCGGUCCAUUUACUCUUACAUGUUCAUGAGCAUGAUCAUGUCCAGUUCUUCGUGUGAAUUCAACGAAUCGAAGAACUCAUCUUCAAUCAUUUGAUCGAACUAUGUCAGUCCAUACUCCUCGUCCAACGAAGCAUCAGAAUUCAUUGUUUUUCCUAAAAAUCGCAAGAAACGGGCUGGACAAUGUAUCGCAAGGGCCAGCUCGAGAAUUGUCGGGCGUACCACAGUGGUGUCCGGGCCGGCAACGACGUCGUGGGCUGUGAGGAUUGAAUAGAGGAGUGUUGUGUCGAUGUUGUCGGCGCACAUGCUCCGCAACGGCGGAGCAGGUGAGAUACGUUGGGGAGGAGCAACAGAAGAUAGCAAAUGGAUGGAUGGGGUAGAUUUGAUGCAAUUUAUGAUGGGGUAGGCCUCUAGGGCGGACGCAUCCGGACGCCUUCCUUAUCCGUCUUUGAUUUGGUUGAUCAGCCCGGGUGUUUGAGGCGUUCACGUGAAUCAUAUUUUUGUGACCAGUCAAUGAUCAAACCGUAUGUGUGAAUGUUUGGAGCGGGUUUGAGAUGCUCGGCUUACCCGUCAGAAUGUCAUACCUUAUUUCUAUAUGUCUGUUCUUGCACGCCCAGUUACCGGUGAGAUUGAACGAUGUGCAAAUGAUACAGCAGGAUGUCUCGGUAGCUAAAAAGUAGGAUCUGAUGUGUGUUGUACUCCAAAUUCCGUGCGUACGUAGCGACGACGUAACGAGGAGCGUCCAAGCAAGAUCCAAUUGUUUGUAACGCGUAUAACCCUGCUUAGCACCUGGCCGUUGCCAAUAAUUUGAGUGUGGCAUGGUAGCUGUGGCUACCUGUCCUCGCCAGCAAAGCAUCUUCUGUUCAUGUCCAUUUGGAUGCUGAACGAUUGUCCAAUGCUAUGCUUUGGACAGUUGCGCAAGCUAGCUAGCUUCCUUAUAUUCAACAAUUAGCUGGUCAGCUGUUAAGAUGCUUUGGCUUAGUUAGGUUGCUGCAGCAUCCAGCUUCAUGGCUUUGUGCAAACGGUUUGUCAACUUGGAAUUCUUGUGGUUUUCUUUUGUAGGACGACGGAGGUUUUUGGGCGGCAAGAUAUAAGCGCCAGCUAGAACUUGGGACAUACUAGCAACGAACAAAAUCUGCUUGGGAAAUGAGUGUCGAAGCUUGGCUACAUCCUACAUGCUCGACGUAUAUUGUACCGCAUCAUGCACGUAUGGUGUGGCCCACACAUGCAUAUACACCGACAAAUGUACUCCCACUGACUGGUGCCCGGAUUCAGAAUACAGAAUACGAGGAUCCAGUGAGAUCCAAGUCCAGAGCUAGCGCGAGGACCAAACCACGGAUUACCCCGAUACGUCGGCCACCGCCCAAGAACUGGUCAUGUAGUACGAGUACACCUGUCGACCGCCGGCUGCAUACGGAUACGGCCACAUGCACCCGCGCGCGCCCAAGUUCCGCGGGAAACGGGCGUAUAACGGUCAGGUCUGGUCGGUCCUUGCCGUCACACGCCCAGCCGGCAGCGGGACGGGCGCGUCAAGGCGAUGACAGCUGGGGAAAAUCAAGCUCCGCGGAUCGCCCAACACCAGCCCAAUUGUCUAGUCGGCGAGCCAGCGCGCGCCUUUAAUUCCAUCGCCGAAAAUACGUAUCUGUUUAUUCAAGAAUUGUUUAGGAAAAAGUUGGGAACGGAAGAAAGAAACCGGCACCCGUAUCCUCCCCGCUGAGUAAUGCUACACCUACAAAGGCUUACUUAAAGAUUUUACGUACAAACUGAUGUGUAAGAUUGUGAUGGUUAUUGAGGGAUGAGGGGCCCCACCCUUACUGAAAAUCAUGGAAGGAGAGAAGAGUUAGUUUAAAAGGUUAAGUAAACUUUUGUAAGUUUUUAUUGAUCCUCCCCCGCCCUCGCACUCCUCACCCAUGUCACCGUCCGCCUUGACGCCGCCCGGUGUUAUCACGUGCGCCGCCACGCGCAGCGUCUACGUGGAGGCCACAGGCGCAGCGGAGCCGGCCGACUGGAAGCCGUAAAAGUGUUUUCUAGUAGGUGACCGGCGGCGAUGCCGUUCGUGCGCGCGGACGGACGCGCACCGGCCGUCGUGCCCGCCGCGCUCGCGCGCUGGCUCACGGGAUUCGCGAGCUCCGCGGGGGUGGGCCAGCGCGCGCAGCGCAAUCGCGCUGGGUGGGUCGAUCGGGGGCCCCUUGCCUGCUCCCCGCCAUGCGCCAUGUCGCCGUCAACGUACCGCUCAUGGGUUUCGUGCCCGGCCCAGUUUCGCAGCGCUCGCUUGCGACACGCGCUCUGUGAUCUCAGCCACUCCAUCCGGAUAUGGACACCCCCAGCGCUCGUCCGCUCACCUGCCCCUCCCAGCCUCGGGUAUUUGGGUAACCGCUACUACUUGUCAGGACCAUGCAAGCAAAACUGGAUUGGUUCAAGAUGGAUGAACCGCUGUUGAUAUCGAGAGCAGGCUUUGCCGUGAAUAUAUAUGGUUAGACGACGACGCUGCGAAGCUAUCUAUAAUAUGCAUCCACCGUUCGACCCUGCCAUAUCACUUCACCCCAUACUGUCACGCCAAAGCCGGCACCACCCCCAACCUACCACGUCUCCCCGCCCGCGCCCGCGCCAGCUCCGGCUUUGCCCAGGCACGUCCGUCGACACAAUUCCGAUAGUCCAGCCAGCCAGCCAUUCAUCCGCUGCGAUCUCUCUCCCUUAUUAGUACGCCCCCACCCUCUCCCUCUCCUGCCCACAGUCCCACUCCCACGACACCAACAGCUGCGCCAACAGCAACAGCCCAGCUCCCCACUACCAGACGUACCACGUACAGAGCUUAGCACCACCCAUGGCCGCGGAGGAGCCCAAGAAGGUGGAGGUGGAGGCGGCGCCGGAGCCGGAGCCCGCACCCCCGGCGGCGGAGCCUGAGGCCCCCGCCAAGGACGUCACCGAGGAGAAGGCCGUCAUCCCCGCGCCCGCGNNNNNN
This 5251-nucleotide long non-coding RNA is filed under the name Hordeum vulgare. RNAcentral's name for it is "long non-coding RNA (HVUL_LNC005258)". The record is from RNAcentral. Lineage: Eukaryota; Viridiplantae; Streptophyta; Magnoliopsida; Poales; Poaceae.